UCAUUUUCAUGGUUCAGUGGUUAUAGUUAAAUUUUUGUGUUUUGGUCUGUUUUUUACAUACUAUAUGUAAUAGGUCUACUAUAUUUGAUGUAUGGAAUGAUUGUAAGGUGUACAUGUCUAGCGGGCAGAUGUCAUGUGACCUUGACCUCAUUUUCAUGGUUCAGUGGUCAAAGUUCAGUUUUUGAGUUUUGGUCUUUUUAUUUAAUACUAUAUGCCAUAGGUCAACUAUAUUUGGUGUAUGGAAAUAUUUUAUGAUCUUUAUGUCAGUAGCGCAUGUUUCUGUUGACUGUGACCUCAUUUUUGACGGUUCAUUGCACAGUGUUAAGUUUUUUUUUUUUGGUCUAUUUUUCUUAAACUAUAAGUAAUAGGUCAACUAUAUAUGUUGUAUAGAAGCAUUGUUAGCUGUACCUGUCUGCCUGGCAUGGUUCAUCUGACCUUGACUUCAUUUUCAUGGUUCAUUGGUCUUUGUUUAGUUAUCUUGGUUAAUGUUAAGUUUAUGAGACAGUUGGAAUAAAGCUUUAUACUUAGGACUAUCAACAUAAUAUCAAUGAUUAGUAUAGAAGGCGAGACAUUUCAGCGUGUGCACUCUUGUUAAUCGAUUAUUGUUGUGUUAGGAUCACUGUAACUGUAAACAGUAUUAUAUUUAGAAUGUUAAUCAACUAAUGAACUGUAUAUGUAGGUGCAAUCAUACAUGUUUUAUAAAUAU
RNAcentral lists this long non-coding RNA (706 nucleotides) under Mytilus galloprovincialis (Mediterranean mussel). The record is from RNAcentral. Lineage: Eukaryota; Metazoa; Mollusca; Bivalvia; Mytilida; Mytilidae.